GCUCAGGAUGAACGCUAGCGGCAGGCCUAAUACAUGCAAGUCGAACGAUAUUUUCCAGCUUGCUGGAAGAGAAAGUGGCGCACGGGUGCGUAACGCGUAUGCAACCUACCUUCAUCAGGGGGAUAGCCCGGAGAAAUCCGGAUUAAUACCGCAUAAAAUCACAGGAUGGCAUUAUCCAAUGAUCAAACAUUUAUGGGAUGGAGAUGGGCAUGCGUGUCAUUAGCUAGUUGGCGGGGUAACGGCCCACCAAGGCGACGAUGACUAGGGGAUCUGAGAGGAUGGCCCCCCACACUGGUACUGAGACACGGACCAGACUCCUACGGGAGGCAGCAGUAAGGAAUAUUGGUCAAUGGAGGCAACUCUGAACCAGCCAUGCCGCGUGCAGGAAGACUGCCCUAUGGGUUGUAAACUGCUUUUAUCCGGGAAUAAACCUCAUUACGUGUAAUGAGCUGAAUGUACCGGAAGAAUAAGGAUCGGCUAACUCCGUGCC
This 490-nucleotide ribosomal RNA is filed under the name Bacillus sp. (in: firmicutes). RNAcentral describes it as "bacterial SSU rRNA". It matches the Rfam family "Bacterial small subunit ribosomal RNA", at positions 22 to 509 of the family's 1533-position model. RNAcentral also lists the same sequence under 1 other name. Lineage: Bacteria; Bacillati; Bacillota; Bacilli; Caryophanales; Bacillaceae. The record is from RNAcentral.